This 382-nucleotide ribosomal RNA is filed under the name uncultured eukaryote. RNAcentral describes it as "partial 18S ribosomal RNA". It matches the Rfam family "Eukaryotic small subunit ribosomal RNA", at positions 592 to 976 of the family's 1831-position model. The record is from RNAcentral.
UGUAAGCGUAUACCAAAGUUGUUGCAGUUAAAACGCUCGUAGUCGGACUUUGGCAGUUCCGGAUGUGUGCACGUCGUGUGCGCACUUCGCGGGGAUUGCUUUUGUGGUCUUGCGUAGGAUGAGGCACUUUUAUUAGUGAACGUCCUCACGCAACCACUUUUUACUGUGAGAAAAUCAGAGUGCUCAAGGCAGGCAUUUGCCGUGAAUGUAUUAGCAUGGAAUAAUAGAAUAGGACUUGGUUCUAUUUUGUUGGUUUGUUGGGACUGAGUAAUGAUUAAGAGGGACAGUUGGGGGCAUUUGUAUUUCGGUGCUAGAGGUGAAAUUCUUAGAUUACCGAAAGACAAACUGCUGCGAAAGCGUCUGCCAAGGAUGUUUUCAUUGA